This 434-nucleotide ribosomal RNA is filed under the name uncultured Lachnospiraceae bacterium. RNAcentral's name for it is "partial 16S ribosomal RNA". It matches the Rfam family "Bacterial small subunit ribosomal RNA", at positions 341 to 792 of the family's 1533-position model. Lineage: Bacteria; Bacillati; Bacillota; Clostridia; Lachnospirales; Lachnospiraceae. The record is from RNAcentral.
ACGGGAGGCAGCAGUGGGGAAUAUUGCACAAUGGGGGAAACCCUGAUGCAGCGACGCCGCGUGAGUGAAGAAGUAUUUCGGUAUGUAAAGCUCUAUCAGCAGGAAAGAAAAUGACGGUACCUGACUAAGAAGCCCCGGCUAACUACGUGCCAGCAGCCGCGGUAAUACGUAGGGGGCAAGCGUUAUCCGGAUUUACUGGGUGUAAAGGGAGCGUAGACGGUAAGGCAAGUCUGAAGUGAAAUGCCAGGGCUCAACCCUGGAACUGCUUUGGAAACUGUCCUACUAGAGUGCAGGAGAGGUAAGUGGAAUUCCUAGUGUAGCGGUGAAAUGCGUAGAUAUUAGGAGGAACACCAGUGGCGAAGGCGGCUUACUGAACUGUAACUGACGUUGAGGCUCGAAAGCGUGGGGAGCAAACAGGAUUAGAUACCCUGGUA